GACGGUCUGGCCUCUUGCCAUCAGAUGUGCCCAGAUGGGAUUAGCUAGUAGGUGGGGUAACGGCUCACCUAGGCGACGAUCCCUAGCUGGUCUGAGAGGAUGACCAGCCACACUGGAACUGAGACACGGUCCAGACUCCUACGGGAGGCAGCAUG
RNAcentral lists this ribosomal RNA (155 nucleotides) under uncultured bacterium. Its description in RNAcentral is "partial 16S ribosomal RNA". It matches the Rfam family "Bacterial small subunit ribosomal RNA", at positions 208 to 353 of the family's 1533-position model. The record is from RNAcentral.